Molecule: microRNA precursor, 82 nt
Filed under: Ascaris suum (pig roundworm)
Lineage: Eukaryota; Metazoa; Nematoda; Chromadorea; Rhabditida; Ascarididae
Description: microRNA asu-mir-1 precursor
Gene: asu-mir-1
Rfam family: mir-1 microRNA precursor family
About the family: This family represents the microRNA (miRNA) mir-1 family. miRNAs are transcribed as ~70nt precursors (modelled here) and subsequently processed by the Dicer enzyme to give a ~22nt product. In this case the mature sequence comes from the 3' arm of the precursor.
Source: miRBase by way of RNAcentral
UUCUGUUGCAUCGUACUUCUUUACAUCGCCAUACUGGUAUUUCAAAGAGCUAUGGAAUGUAAAGAAGUAUGUAGUUACUGAA